AAACGCCUGUACUCCCAGCACUUUGGAAGGCUGAGGCAGAAGGAUUGCUUGAGUCAUGGACAACAUAGUGAGGCCUUGUCCCUACAAAAAAUGAACAGAACUAGCCAGGGGUGGUGGCGCAUCCUUGUGGUCCCAGCUACUCAGGAGGCUGAGGGAGGAUCGCUGGAGCUUGAGAGGUUGAGGCAGCUGUGAGCCAUGUUCAUGCCACUGUACUCUAUCCUGGUUGACAAAGUGAGACCCUGUAUCAAAAAAAGAAAAAGCAUAAAUAAAUAAAUCAAGAUCUGGCCAGGUGAAGUGGCUUGCACCUGUAAUCCAAGCACUUUGGGAGGAUGAGGCAGGCUGAUCACCUGAGCUCAGGAAUUCGAGACCAGCAUGACCAACAUGGCGAAACGCUG
Molecule: long non-coding RNA, 395 nt
Filed under: Homo sapiens (human)
Lineage: Eukaryota; Metazoa; Chordata; Mammalia; Primates; Hominidae
Description: non-protein coding lnc-OPRD1-3:1
Source: RNAcentral